AUUGAACGCUGGCGGCAUGCCUUACACAUGCAAGUCGAACGGCAGCACGGGAGCAAUCCUGGUGGCGAGUGGCGAACGGGUGAGUAAAGUAUCGGAACGUGCCCAGUCGCGGGGGAUAACGUAGCGAAAGUUACGCUAAUACCGCAUACGAUCUAUGGAUGAAAGCGGGGGAUCGCAAGACCUCGCGCGAUUGGAGCGGCCGAGAUCAGAUUAGGUAGUUGGUGGGGUAAAGGCUCACCAAGCCGACGAUCUGUAGCUGGUCUGAGAGGACGACCAGCCACACUGGGACUGAGACACGGCCCAGACUCCUACGGGAGGCAGCAGUGGGGAAUUUUGGACAAUGGGCGAAAGCCUGAUCCAGCCAUGCCGCGUGCAGGAUGAAGGCCUUCGGGUUGUAAACUGCUUUUGUACGGAACGAAAAGGUUUGGCCUAAUAAGCUGAGCUCAUGACGGUACCGUAAGAAUAAGCACCGGCUAACUACGUGCCAGCCGCCGCGGUAA
This 500-nucleotide ribosomal RNA is filed under the name uncultured bacterium. Its description in RNAcentral is "partial 16S ribosomal RNA". It matches the Rfam family "Bacterial small subunit ribosomal RNA", at positions 30 to 523 of the family's 1533-position model. The record is from RNAcentral.